This is a non-coding RNA of Paramisgurnus dabryanus, 305 nucleotides long. The record is from RefSeq and is a predicted model, not a curated record. NCBI's taxonomy places the organism in Eukaryota, Metazoa, Chordata, Actinopteri, Cypriniformes, Cobitidae.
CAGCAAUGGCUCUGCAUUUCAUUGUUCUGCUUCUCACCACUGUGCUUUUCUCCAAAGCACUGGCAUUGAAAUGCUAUGGAAAUAUAACAGAUCCAGUAACAGGAACAUGGUCAAAUUUGACAAAUGUCUGUUUAGGACAGUGUAACUCCAUGACCAGAAUGACAUUCCUAGGUGACCUUAAACUAAAUCAGAGCAUUAAGCUUUGCGGGGAUCCAUAUUCUUGUCUCAAUGGAAGCAUAAAUUAUGGACAAAGCAGAGUAACUGUAAACAGCCUAUGUUGUGGCACAGAUUACUGCAACAGUCAG